Molecule: unclassified non-coding RNA, 328 nt
Filed under: soil metagenome
Description: partial contains 5.8S ribosomal RNA, internal transcribed spacer 2, and large subunit ribosomal RNA
Rfam family: 5.8S ribosomal RNA (bases 1-120)
Source: RNAcentral
GAUGAAGAACGCAGCGAAAUGCGAUAAGUAAUGUGAAUUGCAGAAUUCAGUGAAUCAUCGAAUCUUUGAACGCACAUUGCGCCCUCUGGUAUUCCGGGGGGCAUGCCUGUCCGAGCGUCAUUACAACCCUCAAGCCUAGCUUGGUAUUGGGCCCCGCCGCCUGGCGGGCCCUAAAGUCAGUGGCGGUGCCGUCCGGCUCCGAGCGUAGUAAUUCUUCUCGCUCUGGAGGUCCGGUCGUGUGCUCGCCAGCAACCCCCAAUUUUUUUCAGGUUGACCUCGGAUCAGGUAGGGAUACCCGCUGAACUUAAGCAUAUCAAUAAGCGGAGGA